RNAcentral lists this ribosomal RNA (207 nucleotides) under uncultured Syntrophus sp. Its description in RNAcentral is "partial 16S ribosomal RNA". It matches the Rfam family "Bacterial small subunit ribosomal RNA", at positions 568 to 774 of the family's 1533-position model. The record is from RNAcentral. Lineage: Bacteria; Pseudomonadati; Thermodesulfobacteriota; Syntrophia; Syntrophales; Syntrophaceae.
CGUGUAGGCGGCUGAGCAAGUCAGAUGUGAAAUCCCUGGGCUUAACCCAGGAAGUGCAUUUGAAACUGCUUAGCUUGAGUAAGGAAGAGGGAAGUGGAAUUCCUGGUGUAGAGGUGAAAUUCGUAGAUAUCAGGAGGAACACCGGUGGCGAAGGCGACUUCCUGGUCCCAUACUGACGCUGAGACGCGAGAGCGCGGGGAGCAAACA